GAUGAACGCUGGCGGCGUGCCUAAUACAUGCAAGUCGAGCGAACGGACGAGAAGCUUGCUUCUCUGAUGUUAGCGGCGGACGGGCGAGCAACACGUGGAUAACCUACCUAUAAGACUGGGAUAACUUCGGGAAACCGGAGCUAAUACCGGAUAAUAUUUUGAACCGCAUGGUUCAAAAGUAAAAGACGGUCUUGCUGUCACUUAUAGAUGGAUCCGCGCUGCAUUAGCUAGUUGGUAAGGUAACGGCUUACCAAGGCAACGAUGCAUAGCCGACCUGAGAGGGUGAUCGGCCACACUGGAACUGAGACACGGUCCAGACUCCUACGGGAGGCAGCAGUAGGGAAUCUUCCGCAAUGGGCGAAAGCCUGACGGAGCAACGCCGCGUGAGUGAUGAAGGUCUUCGGAUCGUAAAACUCUGUUAUUAGGGAAGAACAUAUGUGUAAGUAACUGUGCACAUCUUGACGGUACCUAAUCAGAAAGCCACGGCUAACUACGUG
This 497-nucleotide ribosomal RNA is filed under the name uncultured bacterium. RNAcentral's name for it is "partial 16S ribosomal RNA". It matches the Rfam family "Bacterial small subunit ribosomal RNA", at positions 28 to 507 of the family's 1533-position model. The record is from RNAcentral.